CGGGGCGUAGCUCAGCUUGGGAGAGCGCUUGCUUGGGGUGCAAGAGGCCGCUGGUUCAAAUCCAGUCGCUCCGA
RNAcentral lists this transfer RNA (74 nucleotides) under Syntrophothermus lipocalidus DSM 12680. It matches the Rfam family "tRNA". Rfam says of the family: Transfer RNA (tRNA) molecules are approximately 80 nucleotides in length. Their secondary structure includes four short double-helical elements and three loops (D, anti-codon, and T loops). The record is from Rfam by way of RNAcentral. Lineage: Bacteria; Bacillati; Bacillota; Clostridia; Eubacteriales; Syntrophomonadaceae.